UGAGACUUGUAAUUGUUCACUGGCUAGC
This 28-nucleotide non-coding RNA is filed under the name Rattus norvegicus (Norway rat). The record is from RNAcentral. Lineage: Eukaryota; Metazoa; Chordata; Mammalia; Rodentia; Muridae.